UUGAUUCAUUGUCACCUGAUAUGGGUUGUCUGUUCUUUAGAGGGAGAAAGAGAAUGUGUUGCAAUAAUGGAUGUCUUUCUUUGAGUGAUAUGAAUUUUUGUAGUUGUUUCAAGUGGUAUGAAAACAGCUGUUUCUUUGAGGGAUUUAAAUAAUUUUUUUUCAAUGCAAUGAUUUCUCAUUGAUUUGAACUUAUGUUUGAAGAUAUAAAGAUUAUAAAAAUUUAGUGUCUGCAAGAAAGUGACCUGACCCGUAAGUGGUAGGAGAUGGAUGGGGCAUCAACUAUGUGGAAAGAUCAGAACAGCUGGGAUUAUUCUUUAAAGCAGGGAAUGUUAAAGGUGAAUUAAGUGACUUUCAAAAUUCUCAACAGUUCUAAUAGAGCAAAAAUGAAGAAAUGACUUCCACUGGCAAAGAUUGUUAACUGUGCUACUUUACAAAAAAACUGAUAGAUGAAAAUUCUUUUUCCACGUUGAGUUAUCAUACUUUGUGUGGUUUGUUAGGUGGAAAAUGCGUAUCGUAACUUUCAAAAAGAAAUUGAGUCACUGAAAAUGGCUUUAGAGAAGAGAGGAUAAGUGGAAUUAGUUGGAUAUCUGUUACAAAGACGUGACACUGCCUGGACAGACUGGUCACCUUCCGUCCUGUUAAGAUCUCGUGGAAUGAGUUUGUGUAUAUUGAAUAAUGUUUUUGGUUAAUAGGAUGAUACUUUUACUUCUGGUAUUUUGUUUUCCUGUUUUUUUUUUAAGCCUCCAAGAUAAUUUCCCCAUUCCUGUAAAAUGUUGAGUCUGGUAUUUUCUGGGUGGAGCUAUAUGCUGGUAGGUGAUUUAUCUAACAGCCGUGAUACUUCUGUUUUUGUAUAUGUCUCCAGGCUCCACGAAAUGUGUAUGUGCACCAUAGGAGGAUUUAUAAUUUGAGCUGCAGUUCUUUUUUUAACAUUAUGGGCUUCACUGAUUACAGUGUACAGGAUAAAUGCCAUUGUACUGAAUUAAACAUUUUGUUUAGAUUCAUUAAAAGUUGGCAGAUGUAGUUGCAUUACAAUGAUGUUAAAUUGUAACAGAUAACUAAUCCCCUGUUGUGAUUAGUGUACAAAAGUCUAUUUUAUCAACUGCACACUGCUGCUUGACACUUCUUAUUUUUCUUUUUCCAUCCCUUGGGUAUGUGCUCGUGAAAAUGUAUUGGUUUCAGUUAUUUGCUGGGUUUAGCUUAUUUACUAUAUGAAAUGCAGAGUCUUUUUAAACACUUUACUGAAGGAAUGCAGGCAGUACACUCUGUGGCUUCAAAUUGAAAAGAAGUGCAGCUUUUGGAAUCUUUUGAAAAUAUGACCCUUGGCUAAUACAAAACUUGUGUGCAACCAUGCUGUUUGAACUGAAAAUUGAACUUUCCUCAUGUGUUUGUUUUAACUGUCUGUGUUCAUAUAUCAUCUGUAUGGUAUAAGAACUGUAUAGUCUACCAAAGCAGUAAUGGAGCACAGCACCUUGAAAUGCCCAAAUUUAGAAAAGCUUCAAAUAUUUUCCAUAAGUAGCUUUUUUUCCCAUAAUCCUCACAAUUAAACUAUGCAAACCCAAAUCUUUCUCUAUAGGUUGUGAUAUUGAGGUGAAUCUUUAUUCUGUCACUAGAUUAAUCUCCUUACAUUGGUAUCAAACAUCGAUUAAAAGAUUUAACCAUUAUAAAUUUGAGUACUUUUUAAAAUUUACUGUGCUUGGAUUUCCCUCUGCUUGUUUUUCACCACUGCUUAUUACACUUCUGUUUGUUUAAAGUAGACUGCAGGUUGUUUUGUAUUUGUCAAGUCUGUGAAAUGUUUUAAAGGCAUAUUUUAAAGCAUAUAUUCUUAGUCUUGAGUAUGCAAAGCAAAAUUGUGGGGUAUUUUCCCCAAGAAGAAUAAUAUUACUUAAAUUUCAUAAAUCUUAAUCCACAUCACUGAAAAUGUUGAUGUUCUGAAACAUGCAUUUUUGAUAUUAGGUACAUUGUAGCUUUAAAAUGCUUGCAAAAUAAAAAUUGGUGUGCAAGCAUCUUUUUACUAAA
Long non-coding RNA from Rhincodon typus (whale shark), 2016 nucleotides. RefSeq lists it as uncharacterized. NCBI's taxonomy places the organism in Eukaryota, Metazoa, Chordata, Chondrichthyes, Orectolobiformes, Rhincodontidae. The record is from RefSeq and is a predicted model, not a curated record. The transcript is spliced from 2 exons.